GAUGAACGCUGGCGGCGUGCUUAACACAUGCAAGUCGAACGGAAAGGCCUCUGCUUGCAGGGGUACUCGAGUGGCGAACGGGUGAGUAACACGUGGGUGAUCUGCCCUGCACUUCGGGAUAAGCCUGGGAAACUGGGUCUAAUACCGGAUAGGACAAUGGUUUGGAUGCCGUUGUGGAAAGUUUUUCGGUGUGGGAUGGGCUCGCGGCCUAUCAGCUUGUUGGUGGGGUAAUGGCCUACCAAGGCGUCGACGGGUAGCCGGCCUGAGAGGGUGUACGGCCACAUUGGGACUGAGAUAGGGCCCAGACUGCUACGGGAGGCAGCAGGGGGGAAUAUUGCACAAUGGGCGCAAGCCUGAUGCAGCGACGCCGCGUGGGGGAUGACGGCCUUCGGGUUGUAAACUCCUUUCGCUAGGGACGAAGCGCAAGUGACGGUACCUGGAGAAGAAGCACCGGCUAACUACGUG
RNAcentral lists this ribosomal RNA (465 nucleotides) under uncultured bacterium. RNAcentral's name for it is "partial 16S ribosomal RNA". It matches the Rfam family "Bacterial small subunit ribosomal RNA", at positions 28 to 507 of the family's 1533-position model. The record is from RNAcentral.